UUUGACCUCAAAUCAGGUAGGACUACCCGCUGAACUUAAGCAUAUCAAUAAGCGGAGGAAAAGAAACUAACAAGGAUUCCCCUAGUAACUGCGAGUGAAGCG
Molecule: ribosomal RNA, 102 nt
Filed under: Cortinarius nauseosouraceus
Lineage: Eukaryota; Fungi; Basidiomycota; Agaricomycetes; Agaricales; Cortinariaceae
Description: partial 28S ribosomal RNA
Rfam family: Eukaryotic large subunit ribosomal RNA
Source: RNAcentral